Long non-coding RNA from Acinonyx jubatus (cheetah), 1309 nucleotides. RefSeq lists it as uncharacterized. The record is from RefSeq and is a predicted model, not a curated record. The transcript has 6 exons. Lineage: Eukaryota; Metazoa; Chordata; Mammalia; Carnivora; Felidae.
CGCAGCACAAACGGUCCGUGGAGAACUAACGCGUGCGCCCGGAGCCUCUCCUUGUGCCACCUUUUCAUCCCUUCCUCCCGUCCCUGCCGAUCCCCGCCGCCGGUGCCGAUCCGGUGUCUGUCCUUGUAUAUUGAGUUGCAUUCUCUAGGUUAUUUUUUAGGGCCGAGUAGUAUUCCACCGUACGGACCCAGCACAUUGCUUCUGCACGCGUGUCGCGUGGAUGAACAUUCGUGCUGUUUCCAGCCCAAAUAAAGCCGCCGGGAGCAUUGCACGUUCACAUCUCUGGAAUCCUUCUACAAAAGAGUAAAGUUAAAAACCAGGGCCCUGGCAAGAAGGUACCAGCCAGAUGGGACGGGAUCGGACCGGAUGUGGCAAACUCAGUGAGAUCGCUUGCACGACGUGGUGGCACCAGUGACAAUGGGAGAAGUUGACGGGCAGAUCUGACACAUUUGACACUUAGGAGGAAUACAGCUUGGCAAAAACACAUCCAAGGACACCACGUGUGAUUUCCUCCGCGCUGAUUUUGGAAGCUGGGAUGUUUCUGCAUACGCGCAUCAGCAACAUCUAAGCCAACACUCCUCUGGGCCUGUUUCAAACAGCACAUUGAUAUGCCCUGAGCUCUUCUCCGAGUGACCAAGGGCCCACGUCCGUCCACUGCACUGUGAACAGCAGCGGGAAAGCCCUCGAGAACACAGAGGAAAUAGAUGCUAUGUUGUUUGGAAAUAUUUACAUUGGGAAGCCAUCACGUACGCAGAUUUUUUUUUUUUUUCAUUUAAAGCCGUGUUUUUGCCCUUUAUCCAUAUUUUGGCUACGUUUGUUUUGUUUGGAUAGUGAAAGCAUGUGUCAUUGUCAGCUGUUGUUGUUGUUGUUUUAAAUGUCUUUUGGCUUUCUGCAACAGCAAUGUCAAUUACAACAAAAUUAAAGAUGAGGUCUAAGGAAACAGUAAUUUUUGUGUUUGCCGCGCAGAACAUUUAUAAAAUUUACUUUUACAGCAGCAUUAGUAAAAACUGGAGCAAAAAUACUAAAAAUAGAUGAAGAAAAAAAUUACAAAGAACCUGGAAAAAAGAAAAGCAUUUCUGUUAAAUAUUUAUUGUUAUUUCGAGAGAGCUUAGGCGUACGUGUUUUUUUUUUCUCACAUGGAUGUCAUAUUCAUAUUGCUCCUGUUUUAGUCUUAACUGUAUUCUUUAUGGUUGUCUUUUCUGCUUAAAUGCAGAGUUGUUCAGAUUGUUAUUUCUGUGUAAGAUAUGUUACCCAAUGGGGAGGGUUGAGAAAAAAUAAAAUGGUUUUCUUCAGCCAUUUAAUAUCGGGA